Molecule: long non-coding RNA, 4343 nt
Organism: Schistocerca cancellata (South American locust)
Lineage: Eukaryota; Metazoa; Arthropoda; Insecta; Orthoptera; Acrididae
Exons: 3
Source: RefSeq, a predicted model, not a curated record
AGAACUAGAGAAGAAAGUACAGUGUUUAGUGAACAAGAGUUAACAACAACAUAACAUGACACUUUUUUUUAUAGAUUGGAAACUGAUCAGUGUAGAACGACGCUGCCCUUAAAAACUUUUGUAAAUUUGGGUGGUGUGCUAGUAGUUAUCCGAAAGUGUCUGCACGAUGGGUGCCGAGAAACCUGACCCUGGGUCACAAGAGUGCAAGAAUUGGGAAUCCGCCUCGAUAACUUGACGCCGUGCGACAGAGAGGGAAAUAGGUUCCUAUUUAGAAUUAUCACAGGCAAUAAGACUUGUGUGCCCCUCUUUAUCCUAGAAUCUAAGGCCGCCUCAAUGACGUGGAACGCCCCCAUUGACGAGCGAGGAAAAGAUUCCAAGUGUCACAUUAGUUGGGAAAGUUUAUGGCCGCGCCGUUCUGGGACGCGAAAGGUGCGUUCUCCUUGAUUUCCUCCAGCAAGGGACCAUCAGUGCGGAACACUACUGCGAUACCCUCACCCAGACUUGGUCCGCCAUUUGACGAAACAGACCAAGGACUCUGGAGUAAAUAUGUUGGAUAACAACGGAAAACUACUUACGGCCAAGAUUCGUCGCUUCGGAUGGUAAAAUUUGGAUAAUAUGGCCUAUAGCCCCGAUAUUGCACCAACGGACUUUUAUUGGUCCCUGCAUUGAAAGACGCGCUCUCGGGACUUUAGUUCCAAACUAAUGCUGAGGUGGAGUCGGAGUGGAUUGUGCAACAUGCCCUUGCAUCCCAGGGCACCGAAGUUCGAGUGGUUUUUUUAAAACUGAUUGCACCCUACGACAUAUGUCGGUGCCGACUACGUCGUAAAUUAGUGCAAGGUGUAUAGGUCGUGAUGCCAUGGUGUAUUUGCUUUUACUGAUAAGAUGUCCGUGUGAAACAGUGACGAAACUUACUUUCGGAACACCCCACGCAUGGUACGAACAAAACUGCAUAAUAUUUUAAGCUGUGUAAAGUAGUUGUAGCAGAGAAGCAAGUACGGAAACUCGCAAGAAUAAUACACAGGGGCGCAGUAGACGAAACAUACGGUACUUUGUGCUCCCCAUAAUAUGAAGAGUGAAUAUUCGAGAUUAACCGUGUUGAACAUGUAUCGGGAACCCCUCUUGCUAUUAGUGAAAUUGUUUCGUGUCUUUAUUUGAAAUGGUAUUGUUUCUGCUUCAUGGCAACAGCUAAUUCAGUGCAGGUAUUCCAUGUAUACACAUUUAAGGUACACAUCAUGGCAGGCCUAUGCUGCAAAAUGCAAAAGUCUCAGAAUCAGUUAAUGAAAGACAUUGCUUAAUAACCCUGACAGUGUUUUAUCAGGGCAUUGUAUCAGUAGGCACAUGAAUUACACAAAAUUUGCAUUUCUUUACACAAAAACGCAGUAAGCCUGGUAUUGGCAUGACAAUAUUGCAUUAAAGUUUAGAAUCUUAUUAAAAAUGGAUGAGCAGCUAUCUAGUCGUAUAGGCUAAUGCUUGCUCAAAAAUGUGGAAGUCUACAUAACUAUCUUGCAGAAGUACAAAGAGCUUAUUAAAUAGCCUAAUUUUAUGCCCUAAAAUCAUAGUUAUUAAUUAACUUUUACUGUAAAGUAUUUCUGGGGUGAAAGAAUGUGUAAUCAAUAAAUAACACUAUUCCAGUGCCCAAAGAUGGUCUUCUUGCAGUGUUACCCCAUGGGGUAAAUACUUAGGCCAUUUUUUUUUCUAAAACUGUGCUGUUCUGCGGAUGAGUAUGCUUGUGCAGAACAAUCUAGCCAUACGAAACAAAUGGGCCUUGCGCACAUCAUCACAGGUUACUAACAGCCAACAACAGUAAAGAUGAAUGCUACUGGCAAGAGACUACUUGCACAGCCAUAAACACCCAGUCUGACAAAAGCAGUAUCUGUCUCUUCCCAUUGCAUCCCCUAGGUCUUUAUUAAUGAAAAUAUGUGUGAGAGACAGACCUGCAGAAUAAAUAUAAUUUCAAAUGAAACAGUACAAGCAAAACAAAAUACUGCAGCUUGGACAAAGUCAGUCAUAUUAAAGAAAAGUCUGUUAGUAUACUGUGUUAAACAUCAGGAACCUCGCUACUACAGGGAACACUUCUCGUAGCCAUACCAGUAUUGGAAAAUGAAAGGGCAGGUAAAUUGCGUGUGUUGUGCAUAUAGUAACAACACUUGAAAAUCAUUGGAAUGGGACAGUUUCAUGUUGAUGGGUAGAAGCUAACAUUUCCUGCUGUAGAACCAAUGUGAAGAAAGGGGGAGCGAAGUUGAUCCUAGGCUAUUCAGGUUGAUGAAUGUUGUGUUAAGCAGCUCUUUGAAUGCUGUUCCCCAAUAGUGGACCAGGAAACAUGCAAGCUUAGAGUACUGGCAAGAUAUGUCUUAAGCUUCAUAAAGCAACCUCGUGAUAGUUUUGAUUAGGUCAUUCAGACAUCAAUGAUUCUGGAGAUUUUAAUGGAGAUUUUCUGUCAGAUAGUACUGAUAGAGACUACCUCUUUGUUGAUGUCAAGCUUUGGAUUCUUAACCUAAGUAAAGUUCCCUUUAAGAACUGAGGGACAUAGUGCAAUAGCCGUUGACAGAUUCUUCGUAGACACAACCACCUUCAAUGAUAAGCCAGUAGUUGUUUUAAAAAUGUGACAAUGGUGGUCAUAUGUCAACAGUAAAAUUUAUGAAUUAUUAAUGUAUAGAUUAGAGAAGAAAAUGAUUGUUGCCUAUUACAGAACCAUAAACAAUAAUUUACACACAGUGUUGAGAGAUAAACUCCAGAUAGAAUGUUGGGAAGAGGUUGAUAAAACAGGCAGUGUUUAUGGAAAAUUUUAAUGUUUUCCUAACAUGUCCAUCCACUUUGAGUCAUGUUACUUUCUAAAACAGCGUACAAUUAAAUAGAAGCAAGGAUAAAGGAUACAUUUACUCCUAGGAUGAAGGUAUCUUCUGUAAGAAAGUGAGAGUGCUACCUAAUUCAGAAGACAAACUGUAAAGAGUUGAAGCUCUGUUACCAUCAGUAUUGUAACAUCCUCUGGGCAUUUUGCUUAGCUAGUUUUAUUCUUGCUGUUUGAGGAUUGCUCAGUUAUGACGUGCCACCCACUCCAUUCACAGCAUUGUAAGUGUUGGAAUGUUGGUGCCCAAACGUUAUUGGCUGUAUAGAGAUGUUGAGGUUCACCGAUGGUAUUGCAAUUCUGUCAGAGACAGCAAAAGACCUAGAAGAGCACUUGAACGGAAUGGACAGUGUCUUGAAAGGAGGAUAUAAGAUGAACAUCAGCAAAAGCAAAACGAGGAUAAUGGAAUGUAGUCGAAUUAAAUCGGGUGAUGCUGCCGGAAUUAGAUUAGGAAAUGAGACACUUAAAGUAGUAAAUGAAUUUUGCUAUUUGGGGAGCAAAAUAACUGAUGAUGGUCGAAGUAGAGAGGAUAUAAAAUGUAGACUGGCAAUGGCAAGGAGAGCGUCUCUGAAGAAGAGAAAUUUGUUAACAUCGAAUACAGAUUUAAGUGUCAGGAAGUCUUUUCUGGAAGUAUUUGUAUGGAGUGUAGCCCUGUAUGGAAGUGAAACGUGCACGAUAAAUAGUUUAGACAAGAAGAGAAUAGAAGCUUUUGAAAUGUGGUGCUACAGAAGAAUGCUGAAGAUUAGAUGGGUAGAUCACAUAACUAAUGAGGAGGUAUUGAAUAGUAUUGGGUAGAAGAGAUAUUUGUGGCACAACUUGGCUAGGAGGGGGGAUCGGCUGGUAGGGCAUAUUCUGAGGCAUCAAGGGAUCACCAGUUUAGUAUUGGUGGGCAGUGUGGAGGGUAAAAAUCAUAGAGGGAGACCAAGAGAAGAAUACACUAAAAAGAUUCAGAAGGAUGAAGGUUGCAACAGGUAACGGGAGAUGGAGUAGUGCAACAGGUACUGGGAGAUGAAGCAGCUUGCACAGGAUAGAGUAGCAUGGAGAGCUGCAUCAAACCAGUCUCUGGACUGAAGACCAUAACAACAACAUAGAUGUCGACCACAAUGUUCCAGAGUGCUGCUGAUGUGACUGACAAAAGGCAUACAAUUAGUUGUGAGCCAGUGGAUCCCUGUGAGCCAGCUCAAUACUCCAAUGAUGUUGAUGAUUUGUGAUGAGAUGAAGAAGCGGGAUCAGAAGCCACCACCAUACCACUGAUUUAUUCAGGCAUGGCAGAGUUUUUACAUGAAAAUGUUCAGCGAAUUAGUGCUGCCGCAUCUAUCGUCUGCGUCCGCACAUGGACUUUUUUGUUUUAUUUGCUGCAAUUCACAAAUAACUGAACCUAGUGACCAAAUUGUGCAUUUAUGUAAUGUGAAGUUGUUAUUGUUGUAACAAAAUUUUAACAAUGCUGAAGCUUUUAUACUUGUAAACACAAAACUAACUGGGAAAUAAAAGUGCUGAA